This 483-nucleotide ribosomal RNA is filed under the name uncultured bacterium. RNAcentral's name for it is "partial 16S ribosomal RNA". It matches the Rfam family "Bacterial small subunit ribosomal RNA", at positions 30 to 507 of the family's 1533-position model. The record is from RNAcentral.
AUUGAACGCUGGCGGCAGGCCUAACACAUGCAAGUCGAGCGGAUGAAGGGAGCUUGCUCCUGGAUUCAGCGGCGGACGGGUGAGUAAUGCCUAGGAAUCUGCCUGGUAGUGGGGGAUAACGUCCGGAAACGGGCGCUAAUACCGCAUACGUCCUGAGGGAGAAAGUGGGGGAUCUUCGGACCUCACGCUAUCAGAUGAGCCUAGGUCGGAUUAGCUAGUUGGUGGGGUAAAGGCCUACCAAGGCGACGAUCCGUAACUGGUCUGAGAGGAUGAUCAGUCACACUGGAACUGAGACACGGUCCAGACUCCGACGGGAGGCAGAGUGGGGAAUAUUGGACAAUGGGCGAAAGCCUGAUCCAGCCAUGCCGCGUGUGUGAAGAAGGUCUUCGGAUUGUAAAGCACUUUAAGUUGGGAGGAAGGGCAGUAAGUUAAUACCUUGCUGUUUUGACGUUACCAACAGAAUAAGCACCGGCUAACUUCGUG